GACGAACGCUGGCGGAGGGAGGAACACAGGCAAGUCGAACGGAAAGGCCCUGCUUUUGUGGGGUGCUCGAGUGGCGAACGGGUGAGUAACACGUGAGUAACCUGCCCUUGACUUUGGGAUAACUUCAGGAAACUGGGGCUAAUACCGGAUAGGAGCUCCUGCUGCAUGGUGGGGGUUGGAAAGUUUCGGCGGUUGGGGAUGGACUCGCGGCUUAUCAGCUUGUUGGUGGGGUAGUGGCUUACCAAGGCUUUGACGGGUAGCCGGCCUGAGAGGGUGACCGGCCACAUUGGGACUGAGAUACGGCCCAGACUCCUACGGGAGGCAGCAGUGGGGAAUAUUGCACAAUGGGCGGAAGCCUGAUGCAGCAACGCCGCGUGCGGGAUGACGGCCUUCGGGUUGUAAACCGCUUUCGCCUGUGACGAAGCGUGAGUGACGGUAAUGGGUAAAGAAGCACCGGCUACCUACGUG
This 468-nucleotide ribosomal RNA is filed under the name uncultured bacterium. Its description in RNAcentral is "partial 16S ribosomal RNA". It matches the Rfam family "Bacterial small subunit ribosomal RNA", at positions 28 to 507 of the family's 1533-position model. The record is from RNAcentral.